RNAcentral lists this transfer RNA (76 nucleotides) under Salmonella enterica subsp. enterica serovar Infantis. RNAcentral's name for it is "tRNA-Ile". It matches the Rfam family "tRNA". From Rfam's summary of the family: Transfer RNA (tRNA) molecules are approximately 80 nucleotides in length. Their secondary structure includes four short double-helical elements and three loops (D, anti-codon, and T loops). Lineage: Bacteria; Pseudomonadati; Pseudomonadota; Gammaproteobacteria; Enterobacterales; Enterobacteriaceae. RNAcentral also lists the same sequence under 1 other name. The record is from RNAcentral.
AGGCUUGUAGCUCAGGUGGUUAGAGCGCACCCCUGAUAAGGGUGAGGUCGUGGUUCAAGUCCACUCAGGCCUACCA